Non-coding RNA from Notechis scutatus (mainland tiger snake), 128 nucleotides. The record is from Ensembl. Lineage: Eukaryota; Metazoa; Chordata; Lepidosauria; Squamata; Elapidae.
GCUAGAGGAUUAAGAAAGCCUGGUCCGUUGAGCCAGGGCCAGGCCGAAACCGUCCUCUUACAGAAAUGCGAUGGAGAGAGUGGUCCAGCUUCCAGACAGCGGAGACCUCACUGUGCCAUCCAACAACA